RNAcentral lists this ribosomal RNA (597 nucleotides) under Steccherinum ochraceum. Its description in RNAcentral is "eukaryotic LSU rRNA". It matches the Rfam family "Eukaryotic large subunit ribosomal RNA", at positions 66 to 648 of the family's 3401-position model. The record is from RNAcentral. Lineage: Eukaryota; Fungi; Basidiomycota; Agaricomycetes; Polyporales; Steccherinaceae.
UAACAAGGAUUCCCCUAGUAACUGCGAGUGAAGCGGGAAAAGCUCAAAUUUAAAAUCUGGCAGCUUUGGCUGUCCGAGUUGUAGUCUGGAGAAGCGUUUUCUGUGCUGGACCGUGUACAAGUCUCUUGGAAUAGAGCGUCAUAGAGGGUGAGAAUCCCGUCUUUGACACGGACUGCCAGUGCUUUGUGAUGCGCUCUCAAAGAGUCGAGUUGUUUGGGAAUGCAGCUCAAAAUGGGUGGUAAAUUCCAUCUAAAGCUAAAUAUUGGCGAGAGACCGAUAGCGAACAAGUACCGUGAGGGAAAGAUGAAAAGCACUUUGGAAAGAGAGUUAAACAGUACGUGAAAUUGUUGAAAGGGAAACGAUUGAAGUCAGUCGCGUCUUCUAGAACUCAGCCUGGCUUUUGCUUGGUGCAUUUUCUAGUUGACGGGCCAGCAUCAGUUUCGACCGCUGGAUAAAGGCUUUGGGAAUGUGGCACCCUCGGGUGUGUUAUAGCCCAGAGUCACAUACAGCGGUUGGGACUGAGGAUCACAGCAUGCCUUUUGGCCGGGGUUCGCCCACGUUCAUGCUUAGGAUGCUGGCGUAAUGGCUUUAAACGAC